This 418-nucleotide long non-coding RNA is filed under the name Marmota monax (woodchuck). The record is from RNAcentral. Lineage: Eukaryota; Metazoa; Chordata; Mammalia; Rodentia; Sciuridae.
CAACCUGGCUUUGCCAAUAGGUUCCUGGAAUAUCUUUGCUGGUGGAGUUUUCCAGGAACCUAUUGGCAAAGCCAGGUUGGCCAUGUGCCCUUUGUAAACUUAAUAGGUCCCACUCACCCUCUUCAAGGCUCUGGGGCAGAAAAGCCAACUUGGGACUGUUAGUCCAGCCUAACAGGACCCAUUUCCACCAUCUCUCUAUAGGCUUACCACUUAUCCCUCUGCCAAGGCAGCUUUCUUUUGUAUAUGUUUUCUGUGCCCCUCAGCCUCCACACUCCUUUCACCUUCGUGGAUUAAAACCCAGUCCUAACCACAAUCAGAAAAUGGCAAUAUGUACAGUGGCACACCUUGACCAGUCACUAAUUUUCACUGUUGUGAAAGUGAUUUGAUUUAGAAUUAAACAAAUGAUUUUAUAUAACUG